AACGCACAUUGCGCCCUCUGGUAUUCCGGGGGGCAUGCCUGUUCGAGCGUCAUUACAACCCUCAAGCUCAGCUUGGUAUUAGGCUUCACCUGCUAUAGGCGGGCCUUAAAAUCAGUGGCGGUGCCAUUUGGCUUCAAGCGUAGUAACUUUUCUCGCUCAGGAGUACCGAUUGUGUGCCUGCUAAAAAUCCAAAUUUUAUCAAAGGUUGACCUCGGAUCAGGUAGGGAUACCCGCUGAACUUAA
RNAcentral lists this unclassified non-coding RNA (243 nucleotides) under uncultured fungus. RNAcentral describes it as "sequence contains ITS2". The stretch from base 1 to 52 matches the Rfam family "5.8S ribosomal RNA", at positions 103 to 154 of the family's 154-position model. Lineage: Eukaryota; Fungi. The record is from RNAcentral.